Molecule: unclassified non-coding RNA, 346 nt
Filed under: soil metagenome
Description: partial contains 5.8S ribosomal RNA, internal transcribed spacer 2, and large subunit ribosomal RNA
Rfam family: 5.8S ribosomal RNA (bases 1-119)
Source: RNAcentral
GAUGAAGAACGCAGCGAAAUGCGAUACGUAAUGUGAAUUGCAAAUUCAGUGAAUCAUCGAGUCUUUGAACGCACAUUGCGCCCCCUGGUAUUCCGGGGGGCAUGCCUGUCCGAGCGUCAUUGCUGCCCUCAAGCCCGGCUUGUGUGUUGGGCCCCGUCCCCCGAUCUCCGGGGGACGGGCCCGAAAGGCAGCGGCGGCACCGCGUCCGGUCCUCGAGCGUAUGGGGCUUUGUCACCCGCUCUGUAGGCCCGGCCGGCGCUUGCCGAUCAACCCAAAUUUUUAUCCAGGUUGACCUCGGAUCAGGUAGGGAUGCCCGCUGAACUUAAGCAUAUCAAUAAGCGGAGGA